GUAUAAGAGACAGCAGUCGCCGCGGUAAUACAGAGGGUGCGAGCGUUAAUCGGAUUUACUGGGCGUAAAGCGUGCGUAGGCGGCUUCUUAAGUCGGAUGUGAAAUCCCUGAGCUUAACUUAGGAAUUGCAUUCGAUACUGGGAAGCUAGAGUAUGGGAGAGGAUGGUAGAAUUCCAGGUGUAGCGGUGAAAUGCGUAGAGAUCUGGAGGAAUACCGAUGGCGAAGGCAGCCAUCUGGCCUAAUACUGACGCUGAGGUACGAAAGCAUGGGGAGCAAACAGGAUUAGAUACCCCUGUAGUCCCUGUCUCUUAUAC
RNAcentral lists this ribosomal RNA (314 nucleotides) under uncultured bacterium. Its description in RNAcentral is "partial 16S ribosomal RNA". It matches the Rfam family "Bacterial small subunit ribosomal RNA", at positions 495 to 807 of the family's 1533-position model. The record is from RNAcentral.